UAUAAAUGGUCAUGCAAUAUGCUGUGGGUUUAAAAUUCUUCACAUAAGUUGGGUUUGGAACCUUUGGGACCAUAGUAAUAGUGGUUGUAUUGAUGGCUCUUAAAAGUUUACCAUUUUAAAGGAAUUAAGUAACAGCUUCAACCACCUCCUCACCUGUGAUUUCCUAAUAUUCCUUGAAGAAUUCUACUAGGAAUCCAUCCUUGACUGGGGCAUAAUCAUUGGGCA
RNAcentral lists this long non-coding RNA (225 nucleotides) under Capsicum annuum. RNAcentral describes it as "long non-coding RNA (CANN_LNC010095)". The record is from RNAcentral. Lineage: Eukaryota; Viridiplantae; Streptophyta; Magnoliopsida; Solanales; Solanaceae.